UACAGAGGGUGCAAGCGUUGUUCGGAAUUAUUGGGCGUAAAGAGCGUGUAGGCGGCUUUGCAAGUCGGGUGUGAAAGCCCUCAGCUCAACUGAGGAAGUGCGCCCGAAACUGCAGAGCUUGAGUACCGGAGAGGAUGGUGGAAUUCCCCAAGUAGAGGUGAAAUUCGUAGAUAUGGGGAGGAACACCGGUGGCGAAGGCGACCAUCUGGACGGAUACUGACGCUGAGACGCGAAAGCGUGGGUAGCAAACAGG
RNAcentral lists this ribosomal RNA (253 nucleotides) under uncultured bacterium. RNAcentral describes it as "partial 16S ribosomal RNA". It matches the Rfam family "Bacterial small subunit ribosomal RNA", at positions 524 to 776 of the family's 1533-position model. The record is from RNAcentral.